Non-coding RNA from Sturnus vulgaris (Common starling), 122 nucleotides. The record is from RefSeq and is a predicted model, not a curated record. NCBI's taxonomy places the organism in Eukaryota, Metazoa, Chordata, Aves, Passeriformes, Sturnidae.
AGGAAAGGGACAAAACCAGGCUUGCUGGUUAUGAGCAAAGAGAUGGCACACCAAAACUUGAGGAGCUGAGUGCUAGUAUGAUCCCACAAUCUGCUCCAUGAAGUGCUGUCUACAAUAAAACA